This 253-nucleotide ribosomal RNA is filed under the name uncultured bacterium. Its description in RNAcentral is "partial 16S ribosomal RNA". It matches the Rfam family "Bacterial small subunit ribosomal RNA", at positions 524 to 776 of the family's 1533-position model. The record is from RNAcentral.
UACGUAGGGGGCAAGCGUUACUCGGAUUCAUUGGGCGUAAAGCGAAUGUAGGCGGUUGGGUAAGUCAGAGGUGAAAUCCCCCAGCUCAACUGAGGAAUUGCCUUUGAUACUGCCGAACUUGAGGACAGGAGAGGAAAGUGGAAUUCCAGGUGUAGCGGUGGAAUGCGUAGAUAUCUGGAGGAACACCAGAGGCGAAGGCGGCUUUCUGGACUGGUCCUGACGCUGAGAUUCGAAAGCCAGGGGAGCAAACAGG